GUAGGGUGCGAGCGUUAAUCGGAAUUACUGGGCGUAAAGCGUGCGCAGGCGGUUUCGUAAGUCAGAUGUGAAAGCCCCGGGCUUAACCUGGGAAUUGCGUUUGAAACUGCGAGGCUAGAGUGUGUCAGAGGGGGGUAGAAUUCCACGUGUAGCAGUGAAAUGCGUAGAGAUGUGGAGGAAUACCGAUGGCGAAGGCAGCCCCCUGGGAUAACACUGACGCUCAUGCACGAAAGCGUGGGGAGCAAACAGGAUUAGAUACCCUGGUAGUCCACGCCCUAAACGAUGUCAACUAGUUGUCGGGAGGGUAACCCUCUUGGUAACGCAGCUAACGCGUGAAGUUGACCGCCUGGGGAGUACGGUCGCAAGAUUA
Molecule: ribosomal RNA, 370 nt
Filed under: uncultured bacterium
Lineage: Bacteria
Description: bacterial SSU rRNA
Rfam family: Bacterial small subunit ribosomal RNA
Source: RNAcentral